ACCUUCUCCUAGUGAGCAGACUGGAACAUAGAGGAGACUCCACAAGGGGGAGGGGAUGGGAAUCAUUCCAGAAACACAAGGAAGCCUGGGUAGUCUGGGUUCUCCCACAAAGGCCAGGCAUGAGGCAACCAAGAGGAAGACAGCAACUCUCACAUGUUGGAGCCCACAACAGUUGAACAGGAAAGGCCUCAUAGCUGGAAUGGAGGGGGGAAAAAAACAACACAGGACCUGGGAAGAAGCAGCUCAGUGGGUCUUACAGCCUGAAUCCCCACCUUCAAAUGUUCUGUUCCAAGUCUGCUGGAUGAUUUUCCCUCCAUCCUUCUUGCUGUAACCAGCUCUGAGUACUUCGUGUAAAGCCAGGACGUAGAGCAGGAUGGCAUCGUGGAAUCCUUCAACAAACAUGUUAACCUGUAAAGGAAACCACAGAGCCACCAUCUGAAUGCAACAAUAUUACAAGUAGUCACCAUGGUGGCAAACAAUAGCUAAAGCAUUGAUACUCGAUCUGGAAUGUAAAAUGGUUGUUGUCACAGGCAUCCCAGUGAAAGUGUGCUGACACUGCCAUUAAUAGAAUAUUUCACAUUCUAAACACAGAAUAGCUGAAGACCAAGAAGGACUCUCCAGGGGUGUGUGAGGAUGCCAACGUUUGCUCUCUGAAUAUCAUUAUUUAGACAACUUACACUGUGAUCGCUGAUCUUGACCAACCUCAAGGAGGAAGCCAGACAAAAUGACACCAUUGUUGAGUUUUGAUGCCAUAAAAUGAACAGGUGACCAAUAAAGCAAACUAACCUACUGUGGCAUUCAGCA
Ochotona princeps (American pika) is the source of this 804-nucleotide long non-coding RNA. RefSeq lists it as uncharacterized. The record is from RefSeq and is a predicted model, not a curated record. The transcript has 3 exons. Lineage: Eukaryota; Metazoa; Chordata; Mammalia; Lagomorpha; Ochotonidae.